AUAUACACCGGGUGAUGUCCCUAGGAAGUAGAUUCUAGCUUGAUUCCCAUGGUGCAGGUUUAGAGACUGGGGAGGACCUGAGAGGCACAAGGACUAUCCCAGGAUGAAGAAAUAGUAAGGAAAAGGAGGUCUGCAUUCAUCUCUGUCUCCUCAAAACUAGGUCCCUAGUUAGGUUUCCAGGGACCUGUGGGUAGGGCUAUGUGGUCUCAUUGUGUACAGUUCAAGAGAUGACGUGGGGUCAUAGACCUCAACAGAUCUUAGAACUCUGGUAACCAGGCACCCACAUUGCCCCAUCCAGCUCACUUGAUUGGAGACAGUCAACAGGCAAAGAUGUUUUGUUGUUGUUUCCCAACUUUUGGAGGAUCUGGGCUCAAAAAAUCCCAGAAAGAGAAUCUUUUUGGUAGUUGGCGAUGUUGGCUCAGCCUUAAUUCUUGACGCCUCUGGGCAUCUGGUAGGAGGCAGUGAAAGGUAACACGGGGCAGCCCAGGAGAGGCUAGUGCAGGCCAGGGCACAGCUGUGAUCCCACCUGAUCAGCCCCACACCCCUUGCCCCUCUUUGUGUGUGUGUGUGUGUGCAUGUGUCUGUGAGGAGGAGAGAAGGCAGGACAUAAGGGGCGGGUCAUUCCUGAGCAGGAGCUGGUUGUUAGGUGUCGGAAACCUAACAGCUAGGUCAUGUUCAUACCUCAGGCCAUGCCUGGCAGCAUGAGAAGGUGAGCUCCUCUACUCACAUUGUUACCGAGCACUAGAGGAUUCAUCUCCUUCCCUCCCUGACCAGAGUUCUUUGCAGGGAUGCCCCUCUGUGCCUGAACUGAGGAACAGAUAUUCUCUUGGCGGUUGGCCCCAGUGGCAGUGUGCAGGCAGCCCCUGAUUUCUUCUGGCCCAGUUCCCAGGCAGUCUUUGCAGAACUCCACCCAGGAGGUUGUUGAGUAACUGCCCAAUGGUUUCAACUCCACCAACUCACUAGACAAGGGGCAGGUACAUGAGGCCACCCACACUUUGCAGUGCUGCUCUGAGAUGAGAGCAGGAGCAGAGGGUCUCCACACUCAGGAGCUUGAGAUGACGGGGUUGGACUAGAACUAGGGAGGGACCAGACUCAGGCUGUCCCUUUUUUAAGCUAAAGGGGAUGUACAUGAAUGUCAUCUUGCCUGGUUAGGAGAUGAGCUGCCGUGACCCUCUUACCCUUGUCCGGUGUGAGCUUCUGGAGGCCACUGAGGCAGAGUCAGAUGGUAAGGGGGACUGCAGGCUAGGUAUUCCUGGAAGGGAGUGGGAUCUUUCCUGUGUUUAGAAGGACACAUGGAAAGUCAGCUAUGUGGGUGAAUCUUUCUUUUUAUCCCACUCCAGCGUCAGCUGCAGAGCUCCAGCCAGCGGCAGAAGAAGAGCAGUGGGCAGUGGUGGAGGUAGAGCUGGCUCCAGCUCCGUUGACACCACCCCCUCUAGCACUGGAGCCAGUGUCCCCUCCACCAGCAGUGUUGGAGGUGGAGCAAGGGCCAACAUGGGCUCCAGCAGGAGUAGGAGCUGCUUAGCUGGAGUCACCUGGACCAUCAUUUCUAGUGAGAAGUCCAUCUCCACCUGUGGCUCUUAAGGAGCGUGAGAAGCUUAAUCUCAUGGCCUUCCCUCCUAAGCUGGUGGUGGAGCAGUUUACCAUGAUGGAUGCGGCUCCACCCUUUACCAAUCAUAAAACCUGGGCAACUUUCUGAACACCCAAGCCUUUGCUGUCCACCUGCAGACCAUGGAGGUGGACAUUAAGAGGACCUGCUGCACAGAGUGACUGUGCCAACUCCAUGAGGUAGAAGAGACAGAAAGCUGGGUGGGCCCUGGCCCAUCUGUGCAGGGAAGGGCUCACUGUGUACAGCCUGGACCCUGGUGGCCCAACCGUCUGCUCAGGAGGCUCAAUAGCCUCAGGACUUAUUAGACGCCUGAUGUGUACUCCACUACAAGGGAGACAGACAAGGCCUGUGGGUGUAGCUGCCACGCGGGGAUGUGCAUCAGAAUGUGGAGUGGGACCAGAGGGGGGAUCAGGGUAUUGGAAGAUGCCCCCUUGGGA
Diceros bicornis minor is the source of this 2043-nucleotide RNA transcript. RefSeq lists it as uncharacterized. Lineage: Eukaryota; Metazoa; Chordata; Mammalia; Perissodactyla; Rhinocerotidae. The record is from RefSeq and is a predicted model, not a curated record. The transcript has 2 exons.